RNAcentral lists this ribosomal RNA (2902 nucleotides) under Escherichia coli 2-052-05_S1_C1. RNAcentral's name for it is "bacterial LSU rRNA". It matches the Rfam family "Bacterial large subunit ribosomal RNA". Lineage: Bacteria; Pseudomonadati; Pseudomonadota; Gammaproteobacteria; Enterobacterales; Enterobacteriaceae. The record is from RNAcentral.
UUAAGCGACUAAGCGUACACGGUGGAUGCCCUGGCAGUCAGAGGCGAUGAAGGACGUGCUAAUCUGCGAUAAGCGUCGGUAAGGUGAUAUGAACCGUUAUAACCGGCGAUUUCCGAAUGGGGAAACCCAGUGUGAUUCGUCACACUAUCAUUAACUGAAUCCAUAGGUUAAUGAGGCGAACCGGGGGAACUGAAACAUCUAAGUACCCCGAGGAAAAGAAAUCAACCGAGAUUCCCCCAGUAGCGGCGAGCGAACGGGGAGCAGCCCAGAGCCUGAAUCAGUGUGUGUGUUAGUGGAAGCGUCUGGAAAGGCGCGCGAUACAGGGUGACAGCCCCGUACACAAAAAUGCACAUGCUGUGAGCUCGAUGAGUAGGGCGGGACACGUGGUAUCCUGUCUGAAUAUGGGGGGACCAUCCUCCAAGGCUAAAUACUCCUGACUGACCGAUAGUGAACCAGUACCGUGAGGGAAAGGCGAAAAGAACCCCGGCGAGGGGAGUGAAAAAGAACCUGAAACCGUGUACGUACAAGCAGUGGGAGCACGCUUAGGCGUGUGACUGCGUACCUUUUGUAUAAUGGGUCAGCGACUUAUAUUCUGUAGCAAGGUUAACCGAAUAGGGGAGCCGAAGGGAAACCGAGUCUUAACUGGGCGUUAAGUUGCAGGGUAUAGACCCGAAACCCGGUGAUCUAGCCAUGGGCAGGUUGAAGGUUGGGUAACACUAACUGGAGGACCGAACCGACUAAUGUUGAAAAAUUAGCGGAUGACUUGUGGCUGGGGGUGAAAGGCCAAUCAAACCGGGAGAUAGCUGGUUCUCCCCGAAAGCUAUUUAGGUAGCGCCUCGUGAACUCAUCUCCGGGGGUAGAGCACUGUUUCGGCAAGGGGGUCAUCCCGACUUACCAACCCGAUGCAAACUGCGAAUACCGGAGAAUGUUAUCACGGGAGACACACGGCGGGUGCUAACGUCCGUCGUGAAGAGGGAAACAACCCAGACCGCCAGCUAAGGUCCCAAAGUCAUGGUUAAGUGGGAAACGAUGUGGGAAGGCCCAGACAGCCAGGAUGUUGGCUUAGAAGCAGCCAUCAUUUAAAGAAAGCGUAAUAGCUCACUGGUCGAGUCGGCCUGCGCGGAAGAUGUAACGGGGCUAAACCAUGCACCGAAGCUGCGGCAGCGACGCUGAUGCGUUGUUGGGUAGGGGAGCGUUCUGUAAGCCUGUGAAGGUGUGCUGUGAGGCAUGCUGGAGGUAUCAGAAGUGCGAAUGCUGACAUAAGUAACGAUAAAGCGGGUGAAAAGCCCGCUCGCCGGAAGACCAAGGGUUCCUGUCCAACGUUAAUCGGGGCAGGGUGAGUCGACCCCUAAGGCGAGGCCGAAAGGCGUAGUCGAUGGGAAACAGGUUAAUAUUCCUGUACUUGGUGUUACUGCGAAGGGGGGACGGAGAAGGCUAUGUUGGCCGGGCGACGGUUGUCCCGGUUUAAGCGUGUAGGCUGGUUUUCCAGGCAAAUCCGGAAAAUCAAGGCUGAGGCGUGAUGACGAGGCACUACGGUGCUGAAGCAACAAAUGCCCUGCUUCCAGGAAAAGCCUCUAAGCAUCAGGUAACAUCAAAUCGUACCCCAAACCGACACAGGUGGUCAGGUAGAGAAUACCAAGGCGCUUGAGAGAACUCGGGUGAAGGAACUAGGCAAAAUGGUGCCGUAACUUCGGGAGAAGGCACGCUGAUAUGUAGGUGAAGUCCCUCGCGGAUGGAGCUGAAAUCAGUCGAAGAUACCAGCUGGCUGCAACUGUUUAUUAAAAACACAGCACUGUGCAAACACGAAAGUGGACGUAUACGGUGUGACGCCUGCCCGGUGCCGGAAGGUUAAUUGAUGGGGUCAGCGCAAGCGAAGCUCUUGAUCGAAGCCCCGGUAAACGGCGGCCGUAACUAUAACGGUCCUAAGGUAGCGAAAUUCCUUGUCGGGUAAGUUCCGACCUGCACGAAUGGCGUAAUGAUGGCCAGGCUGUCUCCACCCGAGACUCAGUGAAAUUGAACUCGCUGUGAAGAUGCAGUGUACCCGCGGCAAGACGGAAAGACCCCGUGAACCUUUACUAUAGCUUGACACUGAACAUUGAGCCUUGAUGUGUAGGAUAGGUGGGAGGCUUAGAAGUGUGGACGCCAGUCUGCAUGGAGCCGACCUUGAAAUACCACCCUUUAAUGUUUGAUGUUCUAACGUUGACCCGUAAUCCGGGUUGCGGACAGUGUCUGGUGGGUAGUUUGACUGGGGCGGUCUCCUCCUAAAGAGUAACGGAGGAGCACGAAGGUUGGCUAAUCCUGGUCGGACAUCAGGAGGUUAGUGCAAUGGCAUAAGCCAGCUUGACUGCGAGCGUGACGGCGCGAGCAGGUGCGAAAGCAGGUCAUAGUGAUCCGGUGGUUCUGAAUGGAAGGGCCAUCGCUCAACGGAUAAAAGGUACUCCGGGGAUAACAGGCUGAUACCGCCCAAGAGUUCAUAUCGACGGCGGUGUUUGGCACCUCGAUGUCGGCUCAUCACAUCCUGGGGCUGAAGUAGGUCCCAAGGGUAUGGCUGUUCGCCAUUUAAAGUGGUACGCGAGCUGGGUUUAGAACGUCGUGAGACAGUUCGGUCCCUAUCUGCCGUGGGCGCUGGAGAACUGAGGGGGGCUGCUCCUAGUACGAGAGGACCGGAGUGGACGCAUCACUGGUGUUUGGGUUGUCAUGCCAAUGGCACUGCCCGGUAGCUAAAUGCGGAAGAGAUAAGUGCUGAAAGCAUCUAAGCACGAAACUUGCCCCGAGAUGAGUUCUCCCUGACCCUUUAAGGGUCCUGAAGGAACGUUGAAGACGACGACGUUGAUAGGCCGGGUGUGUAAGCGCAGCGAUGCGUUGAGCUAACCGGUACUAAUGAACCGUGAGGCUUAACCUU